RNAcentral lists this ribosomal RNA (592 nucleotides) under uncultured bacterium. Its description in RNAcentral is "bacterial SSU rRNA". It matches the Rfam family "Bacterial small subunit ribosomal RNA", at positions 94 to 700 of the family's 1533-position model. The record is from RNAcentral.
AGUGGCGGACUGGUGAGUAACACGUAAGCAACCUGCCUAUUAGAGGGGAAUANCAGUGAGAAAUCAUUGCUAAUACCGCAUAUGCCAUAGAUACCACAUGGUAUCAGUGGGAAAGGAGCAAUCCGCUAAUAGAUGGGCUUGCGUCUGAUUAGAUAGUUGGUGGGGUAAAGGCCUACCAAGUCGACGAUCAGUAGCCGAACUGAGAGGUUGAACGGCCACAUUGGGACUGAGAUACGGCCCAGACUCCUACGGGAGGCAGCAGUCGGGAAUAUUGCACAAUGGAGGAAACUCUGAUGCAGUGACGCCGCGUGCAGGAAGAAGGUUUUCGGAUUGUAAACUGCUUUAGACAGGGAAGAAACAAGACAGUACCUGUAGAAUAAGCUCCGGCUAACUACGUGCCAGCAGCCGCGGUAAUACGUAGGGAGCAAGCGUUAUCCGGAUUUAUUGGGUGUAAAGGGUGCGUAGACGGGCUAACAAGUUAGUUGUGAAAUCCCUCGGCUUAACUGAGGAACUGCAACUAAAACUAUUAGUCUCUGAGUGCGGGAGAGGAAAGUGGAAUUCCUAGUGUAGCGGUGAAAUGCGUAGAUAUUAG